This 253-nucleotide ribosomal RNA is filed under the name uncultured bacterium. Its description in RNAcentral is "partial 16S ribosomal RNA". It matches the Rfam family "Bacterial small subunit ribosomal RNA", at positions 524 to 776 of the family's 1533-position model. The record is from RNAcentral.
UACAGAGGGGGCAAGCGUUGUUCGGAAUUACUGGGCGUAAAGCGUGCGCAGGCGGUGAUGUAAGACAGUUGUGAAAUCCCCGGGCUCAACCUGGGAACUGCAUCUGUGACUGCAUUGCUGGAGUGCGGCAGAGGGGGAUGGAAUUCCGCGUGUAGCAGUGAAAUGCGUAGAUAUGCGGAGGAACACCGAUGGCGAAGGCAAUCCCCUGGGCCUGCACUGACGCUCAUGCACGAAAGCGUGGGGAGCAAACAGG